This 812-nucleotide ribosomal RNA is filed under the name uncultured bacterium. RNAcentral describes it as "bacterial SSU rRNA". It matches the Rfam family "Bacterial small subunit ribosomal RNA", at positions 8 to 796 of the family's 1533-position model. The record is from RNAcentral.
AGAGUUUGAUCCUGGCUCAGAACGAACGCUGGCGGCGUGGAUAAGACAUGCAAGUCGGACGGGAUUUUCUUUGGUAGCAAUACCGAAGGAAAUUCAGUGGCGAACGGGUGCGUAACACGUGGGCAAUCUGUCUUAAAGUGGGGGAUAGCUCGGCGAAAGCCGAAUUAAUACCGCAUGUGAUCAGAGGCGACAUCGCUUCGAAAUCAAAGGUGGCGCAAGCUACCGCUUUUUGAGGAGCCCGCGGCCUAUCAGCUUGUUGGUGAGGUAACGGCUCACCAAGGCGUUGACGGGUAGCUGGUCUGAGAGGACGACCAGUCACACUGGGACUGAGACACGGCCCAGACACCUACGGGUGGCAGCAGUCGAGAAUUUUUCUCAAUGGGGGGAAACCCUGAAGGAGCGACGCCGCGUGGAGGAUGAAGGUCUUCGGGUUGUAAACUCCUGUCAUUUGGGAACAAGUCGUACGUAUUUAACUGUACGUGCGUUGAUAGUACCAGAAGAGGAAGAGACGGCUAACUCUGUGCCAGCAGCCGCGGUAAUACAGAGGUCUCAAGCGUUGUUCGGAUUCAUUGGGCGUAAAGGGUGCGUAGGCGGCGCGGUAAGUCGGGUGUGAAAUCUCGGAGCUUAACUCCGAAACUGCAUUCGAUACUGCCGUGCUUGAGGACUGGAGAGGAGACUGGAAUUUACGGUGUAGCGGUGAAAUGCGUAGAUAUCGUAAGGAAGACCAGUGGCGAAGGCGGGUCUCUGGACAGUUCCUGACGCUGAGGCACGAAGGCCAGGGGAGCAAACGGGAUUAGAUACCCCAGUAGUCC